This 144-nucleotide non-coding RNA is filed under the name Schistosoma mansoni. The record is from RNAcentral. Lineage: Eukaryota; Metazoa; Platyhelminthes; Trematoda; Strigeidida; Schistosomatidae.
CCCGACCGUUGAUGCUACCUUGACGUGGUGGUUGGGCUAGCUUAUCAUGAUUAACCAAUCGGGCUAUACUGGCUACAACAAUCAUUCCUCAAGGUUCUACCAUGCCAAAUAGAUCGGUUGAAGAACGGUAGGACUAAAAGCAAA